RNAcentral lists this ribosomal RNA (488 nucleotides) under uncultured bacterium. RNAcentral's name for it is "partial 16S ribosomal RNA". It matches the Rfam family "Bacterial small subunit ribosomal RNA", at positions 28 to 507 of the family's 1533-position model. The record is from RNAcentral.
GACGAACGCUGGCGGCGUGCUUAACACAUGCAAGUCGAACGAAAAUACCAAGCUUGCUUGGUUGAUUAGUGGCGAACGGGUGAGUAACACGUGAGUAACCUGCCCCUUACUUUCCUGGAUAACUGCUCGAAAGGGUAGCUAAUACGGGAUAUUCUGACCAGCCUGCAUGGGUUGGUUUGGAAAGGUUGUUUUUCUGGUAAGGGAUGGGCUCGCGGCCUAUCAGCUUGUUGGUGGGGUGAUGGCCUACCAAGGCCUUGACGGGUAGCCGGCCUGAGAGGGUGGACGGUCACACUGGGACUGAGAUACGGCCCAGACUCCUACGGGAGGCAGCAGUGGGGAAUAUUGCACAAUGGGCGCAAGCCUGAUGCAGCGACGCCGCGUGAGGGAUGAAGGCCUUCGGGUUGUAAACCUCUUUCGUCAGGGAACAAGGCACUGCUUUUUUGGUGGUGUUGAGGGUACCUGGAUAAGAAGCGCCGGCUAACUACGUG